AUUAGACCUCAGAUCAGGCAGGAUUACCCGCUGAACUUAAGCAUAUCAAUAAGCGGAGGAAAAGAAACUAACAAGGAUUCCCCUAGUAACGGCGAGUGAAGCGGGAAGAGCUCAAAUUUGUAAUCUGGCCCUUUCAGGGUCCGAGUUGUAAUCUCGAGAAGUGUUUUCCGCGUCGGACUGCAUACAAGUCUAUUGGAAUAUAGCGUCAUAGUGGUGAGAGCCCCGUAACUGAUGCAGAUGCCCGAUGCUUUGUGAUACACUUUCGAAGAGUCGAGUUGUUUGGGAAUGCAGCUCAAAUUGGGUGGUAAAUUCCAUCUAAAGCUAAAUAUUGGCGAGAGACCGAUAGCGAACAAGUACCGUGAGGGAAAGAUGAAAAGCACUUUGGAAAGAGAGUUAACAGUACGUGAAAUUGUUGGAAGGGAAACGCUUGAAAUCAGACUUGCUAUUCGGAAUUCAGCCGCAAGGUGUACUUUUCGAUUUGCAGGCCAGCAUCAGUUUUUGGGGGUGGAAAAGGGUGGAGAGAAGGUAGCAACCCCGGUUGUGUUAUAGCUCUUCACUGGAUUCAUCUUUGGGGACUGAGGAUCGCAGUGCGCAUUUAUUUGCAAACCUCUCGAGGUUCGUACUAGGAUG
Molecule: ribosomal RNA, 630 nt
Filed under: Glaciozyma martinii
Lineage: Eukaryota; Fungi; Basidiomycota; Microbotryomycetes; Kriegeriales; Camptobasidiaceae
Description: eukaryotic LSU rRNA
Rfam family: Eukaryotic large subunit ribosomal RNA
Source: RNAcentral